Molecule: ribosomal RNA, 368 nt
Filed under: uncultured organism
Description: bacterial SSU rRNA
Rfam family: Bacterial small subunit ribosomal RNA
Source: RNAcentral
CGUAGGUGGCGAGCGUUGUCCGGAUUUAUUGGGUUUAAAGGGUGCGUAGGCGGUCCUAUAAGUCAGUGGUGAAAUAUCGCAGCUUAACUGUGAGGGUGCCAUUGAUACUGUAGGACUUGAGUGAAUUUGAGGUAGGCGGAAUUGACGGUGUAGCGGUGAAAUGCUUAGAUAUCGUCAAGAACACCGAUAGUGAAGACAGCUUACCAAGCUUCAACUGACGCUGAGGCACGAAAGUGUGGGGAUCAAACAGGAUUAGAUACCCUGGUAGUCCACACUGUAAACGUUGAUUACUCGCUGUUGGCGAUACACAGCCAGCGGCUAAGCGCAAGCGAUAAGCAAUCCACCUGGGGAGUACGCCGGCAACGGUG